RNAcentral lists this transfer RNA (73 nucleotides) under Salmo salar (Atlantic salmon). It matches the Rfam family "tRNA". Rfam says of the family: Transfer RNA (tRNA) molecules are approximately 80 nucleotides in length. Their secondary structure includes four short double-helical elements and three loops (D, anti-codon, and T loops). Further hydrogen bonds mediate the characteristic L-shaped molecular structure. tRNAs have two regions of fundamental functional importance: the anti-codon, which is responsible for specific mRNA codon recognition, and the 3' end, to which the tRNAs corresponding amino acid is attached (by aminoacyl-tRNA synthetases). tRNAs cope with the degeneracy of the genetic code in two manners: having more than one tRNA (with a specific anti-codon) for a particular amino acid; and 'wobble' base-pairing, i.e. permitting non-standard base-pairing at the 3rd anti-codon position. Lineage: Eukaryota; Metazoa; Chordata; Actinopteri; Salmoniformes; Salmonidae. The record is from Rfam by way of RNAcentral.
GAGCAAUUAGCUCAAAUGGUAGAGUGCUUGCUUAGCAUGCGAGAGGAAGUGGGAUCGAUGCCCACAUUCUCCA